This is a long non-coding RNA of Fukomys damarensis (Damara mole-rat), 1702 nucleotides long. Lineage: Eukaryota; Metazoa; Chordata; Mammalia; Rodentia; Bathyergidae. The record is from Ensembl.
GUGUGUGGGCACUGUCACCGGGCAUGGCCUAUGGGACUCACUCUCUUGUUGUCUGCUCUUACUUUAGAUUCCACUCCACCAGGCUUUCUGUUUGGUGUUGCUUUUCAGAUUUUCCCCUCUGUGAAACUGGCUAUCCGGAGUUGCUUUCAGUUUGGUUGUUUUUUUCAUUCCCAACCCUUUUCAAUAUUAUUAUUAUUUUUUUUUUUAUUUUGAGACCAGGACAAGGUCUGUCUAAGUUGCUCAGGCUGGGUCAAAGUUGUGAUUCUCCUGCCUCAUCCUCCCAGAGUACUGGGAUCAUAUGACCUGCUCUCCCAGAUGCACCAUGAUGAGGCUGAUGUAAACACUAAUUUAUUUUAUUCAUUACAUUAUCAAUGUAGUGGUCUUGGCAGACAGCUAAAUAGCCCUCAGUUGCGGACAAGGAAACUGAGGUAUAGAAUAAUUCACAAGACAGGGCUGGUUCUCAAGGUCACAUGAGAAAUACAGAUGACUGAUGUGAUAAGAAUGCCAGAGGUCAGGAGGAGAAUAAUGCUGUGUGUCCUAAAUACACUGAAUAAUUUAUAAUUAAUGAUGCACAAUGAUGGUCACGAUUAACAGUAACGAAGUGGGCAGUGGGGUCAGCUGCUGGAAGAGAUUUGAAGCUGCUUUGAAGGACUUGACUGAAGAUGGCAUCCAUAGGCCGCAGCUGGGGUUUGCUGUUGCCCUGGCACCCAGAGCUUUUGUCACAAAGCACUAAGUGGGAGGCACUGUGAGGGGGGCUCAGGAGGAGGACCUGAUGCGGGUGCUGUUCGUGUCCUUCGAAGAUGUGCAGGCGGGCACAGUGAGGGCCAGGACGGACACCUUGCCCGCCUCUGCAGGGCCCCACGGGACCCGGUGACACUGCUGUGCGGAACACACGUGGCUCCAGUGGCCGUGCAUCUUGGAGUCCUGGCCCACGGCAAGGUCAGCACGAGCCAGGCGUCCAGCCCUGCAGCUAAGUGUUCCCUCUGGCGUCACAGUUCCCAUCAGCACCUGGAAUCUCACUGAGAACCAGAGCUGGGAGAGAGCAUGCGGCCAGAACCUCAGGCCCAGGACAAGCAGAUCACCCUUACCACCCAUAAGGGAGAAGCCCACACUGGACCGUCUCACAGGAAGGCAGCACAGUGAGGUGGACAGAGCCGCCAGGAGCACAAGUGGCAGAGUGGAGCCCGCAGGACGCUGCGCCGCCUGGGGCGGGACCACAGUGACACCAGCUGCUUUCCCACAGCUCUCCGUUCACGUCUCACAGACCCCUCCCACGCGCGUGCGAAACCUGUUCUAUGACUUAACUUGUUUUCAGAUGAAGUUUACUGGGGUACAGAAACGACUGCCACACAGCACUGGAAGGGAGGGGUGGGAACGUGUGGAAAGAGCCAGAGAAGAGAAACAGGAAGCCUCGGGCCUCCGUCCUGGGGGAGAUUAGGGAGAAGGCUCCUCCACUGUUCAAAGGCAGCUGCUCAGAAAAUUACUAAACUGAAGCGAACAAAAUGUCAGAAAUUCUUUGGAUGUGAUUCUAGGGACCCGUUGUAAGUUGUCCUUACCAAAGCAAUUAAAUGCUUCACUUUUUAAAAUUCUUUCCAUAAUUUGCCAUAUAUGACUUUAAGGUGAGCAAAAUUAAUUUUUCUUCAUGUAAGUUAUUUGCUUAUGUACAAAGAAUUACUGUUAUUAAAAUGGAAGUUAUUGAGCA